UACUCGAGUGGCGAACGGGUGAGUAACACGUGGGUGAUCUGCCCUGCACUUCGGGAUAAGCAUGGGAAACUGGGUCUAAUACCGGAUAGGACGAUGGUUUGGAUGCCAUUGUGGAAAGUUUUUCGGUGUGGGAUGAGCUCGCGGCCUAUCAGCUUGUUGGUGGGGUAAUGGCCUACCAAGGCGUCGACGGGUAGCCGGCCUGAGAGGGUGUACGGCCACAUUGGGACUGAGAUACGGCCCAG
This 242-nucleotide ribosomal RNA is filed under the name uncultured Actinomycetales bacterium. RNAcentral's name for it is "partial 16S ribosomal RNA". It matches the Rfam family "Bacterial small subunit ribosomal RNA", at positions 88 to 334 of the family's 1533-position model. The record is from RNAcentral. Lineage: Bacteria; Bacillati; Actinomycetota; Actinomycetes; Actinomycetales.